CGCGUAGGCGGCUUGCCAAGUCAAGGGUGAAAUCUUUCGGCCCAACCGGAAAAGGGCCUUUGAUACUGGCAGGCUAGAGCGAGGUAGGGGCAGAUGGAACUUCCGGUGGAGCGGUGAAAUGUGUUGAUAUCGGAAGGAACGCCGGUGGCGAAAGCGAUCUGCUGGACCUCUUCUGACGCUGAGGCGCGAAAGCCAGGGGAGCAAACG
This 207-nucleotide ribosomal RNA is filed under the name uncultured bacterium. Its description in RNAcentral is "partial 16S ribosomal RNA". It matches the Rfam family "Bacterial small subunit ribosomal RNA", at positions 568 to 774 of the family's 1533-position model. The record is from RNAcentral.